GAGAGAGGCUGGCCAGCAACGAAGGUUGCUAACCCUCGUGCCCUGGGUUGGAAUCCCGGGCUCUACUCA
Molecule: transfer RNA, 69 nt
Filed under: Centrolabrus exoletus (rock cook)
Lineage: Eukaryota; Metazoa; Chordata; Actinopteri; Labriformes; Labridae
Description: tRNA-Ser
Source: RNAcentral